CUGGAGUCUGUGUGGUGUUUGUGAUAAUCGUCAGAUAACCAAACCAACUAUAGUCUGGUGUUCUGAAUGUGACGAAGGACUUUGCGGAGAUUGUAAUGCACAUCACAGUAUUUCUAGGGGAACAAGAAAACAUGAAACCGUUUCCAUCGCUGAGUACAAGAAAUUACCGACCGAAGUCCUGCAAAUCGCUCAAAUCUUCAAACUACAUAAUGAAAAAUACGAGCUUUUCUGUAGAAAACAUGACUGUCCGUGCUGUAAGAAAUGUGUGAAAUCUCACAACGAUUGUAAGGGUUUAACCGAUAUGAAUGAACUCAUUAAAAAUGUAAAAACUUCAAACGCCUUUUAUGAAAUCGAACAAACCCUGCUUGAAGUCACCGAGAAUGUUAAACGACUCAGCGAUAACCGGAAAGAAAAUUUGAACUCGCUUCGAGAUAAGAAAAGAGUUAUUGAAGCCGAAAUAAAACGAACCAGAACCAAAAUAAACGAUCACCUUGAUAAACUUCAGGAUGAUUUUAUGAAAGAAUUAAUGGCAGUUGAACAAAAAGAGAGCAGCAAAAUACAAAAAAUGUUGACUACCCUGAAAAAGAACGAAAAAGAAAUCAGUGAAGUACAAGACAGCAUUGCUAGUAUUAAACAGCAUGCGACCGAACUUCAAACAUUUUUAACCAUGAAAGAUAUCGAAAAAAAUAUUGCAGUAAGACAAAAAUUCAUUCAAUCGAUCACCACAAGUGACACUACAAAUGAAUUCAAUAUUUCAUUUCAAAUUAACAAAUCUUUACAGCAAAUCACGGCCAGCGUGCAGAGGUUCGGAGAAAUAAAUGUCAGUUCUGAUCCAUGUGAUUAUACCAUUCAGAGACGGAAGGAGAGAGAAGCCCAGAUUAGGGUAAUACCGUCAACCAGAAAUAUCGACAACCUAACUUUGACACUACAGAAACGUACCGAUACAUCGUUGUCAAAUGUCCAAGGCUGCUCACUGCUUCCUGGAGGUAGGAUGGUAUUCUCCUGUUGUGGACAAGAAAGGAAUACAAAUGAUUAGUCUUAGUGAUGAAUCAAUUACCAAUGUUAUCAGUAACAAACUUCCUUACAGUGCGUACGUUACAACAUUCGGUAACAAACUGUUCUACACAGACAUUGGCAACCACAGUGUAACCUGUUGUAAUUACCAUGGUAACAUACUGUGGACGUUCUGUGAUACAAGUGUUCUGCAGUAUCCUCUCGGUAUAUCUGUAGACAAUGAUGGUAACGUGUUUGUAGUGGGAUAUGUUACUCAUAAUGUUGUCGUCAUCUCUCCUGAGGGAAAACACCACAGACAACUUUUAUCAAGUGAAGACGGACUGAAAUUCCCACAUGUUCUGCACUAUGACAUAUCUACUUAUAGAUUAUUGGUUGCAAAUCAAUCCGAACAUGCGUUCUUGUAUGAAGUUAAUAAAAAUGAUAAAAAAAUGGAAACUGAGACAUUCAACUGUUAAGUAUUCGUUCAAAAACUUCUGUUGAUCGAGAUUACUCACUAUAGUUCAGAUAAACUAUUACUUGACUUUAUCUAAAUUUGUUUACAUUUACAUUCUGCGAUGGAUGUGGUAUUCAUUGGGAAUGAUUCUACUGUUGUUACAUCAAGCGGAACAGAUGUGAUUAAUAUGAUCGACUUUAAGAAACAAAAGCUGAAAAAAUCAAUCAAAAUAAAUUCAGCCAACGACGAAGCUGUAUAAAAACAUGGACAUUUUAUGUAUAGUGCCAGGGAUAUAGGACUUCAGAUGAUUAGUCUUAGUGAUGAGUCCAUUACCAAUUUUUCAGUACUAAACUUUCUGACGAUGCGUAUGUUACAACAUUCGGUGACACACUGUACUACACUGUACUACACUGUACUACACAGACAGUAACAACCAUAGUGUCACCUGUUAUGAUUACCAUGGUAACAUACUGUGGACGUUCUGUGAUACAAAAAUAUUCUGAUUCUCUCACUGGUGUCUCUGUAGACAAUGGCGGUAACGGGUUGUGUGAUAUCUUACUCAUAACGUAGUCGUCAUCUCUGUUGAUGGCCUCAGUUACCCAAAUGUUCUGCACUAUGACAAAUCUACCAAUAAAUUGUUAGUUGCAAAUGCAAGAAAUGAAGUGUUCUUGUAUGAAGUUAAAUGACGUUUUGAUGGUUCAAGUAUUCGUUAUCAUUAAAUGUAUGUAACAUUGUUUAUUAAAUUUCUUUUUUAUACACCAUGUUCUUCUUACACAUGAUUCCCUGAAACAACAAGUCAGACAGGAAAGUACGCUAAGUAUUUAAAAAAAAUUAACAGUACUGAGGUCAUUUAGAUUAGAUUUUAUAUGGAAAAUUUAAAAGAUUAAUAAAGAAAUAUCAUUGAGACGAAAACAGAGAGAUGAAGGUUACACGUCAAUGAGACAGCAAUCCAACACCUUGAACAAAAAUAUUAUAGAAUUUUCUUAUCCCUGGAUUAGAGUACCUUAGCCGUUUAACUUUUUGGAAUUUUUGAUCCACAAAUACAACAUUCGGAGACAAACUGUUCGACACAAACAAUAACAAUAACACUGUAACUUGUUGUGAUUACCAUUGUAAAAUAAUGUGGACGUUCUGUGAUACAUAUCUUCUUGAGUAUCCAUUCGGUAUCUCUGUAGACAAUGAUGGUAACGUGUUUGUAGUGGGUAGUCUUACUCUCAAUGUAGUCGUCAUUUCUCCCGAUGGACAACGCUACAGACAACUUUUUAUUACGUGACGAUGGACUUGAUUUCCGACAGAUUCUACACUAUUACAUAUCUUCUAAUGAAUUGUUAGUUGCAAAUAAAUCAACAAAAGCGUUUUUGUGUGAAGUUAAAUGAUAAGUUAUUAUAUUACAUAUAAACCACUUGGUAUUAUCUAAACUUGUUUACAUUGAUAUACUCUGUUGAAUAGAACCAGCACUGGUAUUUAUUCAUUCAUUUACACCAAUAUGUCGUUAUUAGUAUGAAAGUGGGUACCCUGUAUUUAUCAGACUUUAAUAACAUAUGGUAAAAUCGCAGAAAGCCCCCCCCCCCGACCCCCCCAAUCCUAAAUUAUUGGAGAGUAUAUCAUUUUGCAUUGACAAUAAUAUCUUGAUGUGAGUGAGGUAACCUUUUUGGACUUAAGUGUAUCUAAUACAAAAACGUCUUAUGCCUUAUUGGUAUUCAACCUUUUUGCAACAAUAAAUUAGACAACUAAGCAAUGCUGUUAAAGAAAAAAAAAAGGAUAUAACAGUAAGGUAAUGAAAUCAAAUUAGGAUUAAUGUUACAGUGAAAGAGGGUUUUCAGCAAAAAACUGUUUGAAACAAAAAUAUUAUAGAUACGAGUACAAUAUAUUCAGUGGUGUUACUAAACUGGUCAAUGGUGUUAUUUUAUCAAAGUGGUCUCACUAUUGACAGAAAAACAAGGAUUUACAGGUGUAUGUUAAGAUUUAAUUUAAAACAAAGUGCUCCAUUCCCGUAUUUUAUAUGUUGUUCCUGGUGCAUGUUUCUACAAUCAAUAUAUUUCAUAAUCCAAAGUUCAGGAAAUUUUUCAAAAAAAUGAUUUUUAUAAGGGUACACCAUGGACACUAUUUUCAUUUACGAUUUACUGUUAUUGUUUUUUACUAAAUUUUCAACAGAAAUAUUUGUUUUCUUUAGCAUAUUAUGCUUAAAGGUAACAUUGUAUAGGGAGAAACUUUUAUAAAUCCUGAAAUCUUGAGAAAGAUAACUCUACUCGUACUAAUUUGUCUUUUGUUUACACCAUUGACUUAAAAAAAAAAUGAGACUGUUUUUGUUUGUUAAAUUUUUCAUUAUAAAACCAACAUACCCCUCCCAAAUCAUUAAAAAAAGUUUGUACGUAUCAAAAUGCAAUGAAAACAUAUAAAUCCUAAAAACAAAUGAUAUAAAUAAUAGUCCUCAUAUCUGAAAGGAUUUAAAGUUAAAAAUAACAGUUGAUUCCAAGGGUUUAAGAAAAUAUUAAGGAUAUUUUUAUAACAUUUCAUACUGUAAACUGUAUAUUAUUGUGUAUCACAAAAUAUUCAUAUAUCAAAUUAUUCAAGUGAUAUUUUGAUACAUUUAGAUAUAUUUGCAUGUCUUUUGACUUAAAAAGACCAAAUAACAUAGUUUUGUAUUGUUUUUUUUAAUAAGGACCCAUAAACGAAACGAUAACAAGGAGAUAUGGUAUUUACGUUGGUAAGACAGCAACAUACCGACUUGAACACAAAUAUUCUAGAUACGAUUAUAAGGAGACAUUAGUCAUACGUUGAUGAGACAGCAACUUACCAACUUGAACAAAAAUAUAACAGAUACGAUUACAAUGAGAAUUGUUUUUUUAUGACAAUUUCAUAUCAAUUUAUCGACCUGAAAAAAAUAUUAUAGAUAAGAUCAAAUAAAGUUUUGGAUAUAGGUCAACGAGGCAGUUACCCAACAAUUUGAAGGAUAUGUCGGUUAUACAUCAACGAGACAGCAACCUAACGACUAGAACAAAUCUAUAAUAGAACAGGAGUACGAAGAAUGGUUAACUCGGGUAUACGUCAGGCAGACAGCAACCCAACGAAUUGAAAUUUUUUUUAUCAAAGAUGUGACUCAAGAUUCAGGGAGAUAUUUGAAAAACUUCAACACUCCACGACUAAAACACAAAUUCUCUAAAAUGGGAAAAAACACGAAUUCAAAUAGGUGUGGGUUGAACGUCAAUGAAACAGCUACCCAAAGACUUGACAAAAACAUUUUAGAUAUGAAUACCAAGAGAUAUGCGGUAUAAUAAUGAGACAGCAACCCAACAAUUUGACAAAAAUAUAAUAUAUAUAAAUACAAAAGAGAUUUUGGAUAUAGACCUCAAUGAAACAGCAACCCAACAAUUAUACCAUAAUAGUAUAGAUAUGAAUACAAGAGGAUGUUAUGAUAUACGCCAUGAGACAACAGUUCUACCACAAAACGAUGAAUAGGUGUCUUUGAAUCUUGCAAUAUGAAUAUAAUAUGUAAAACAACUUUUACAGCGGAUGACCGUGAGGGCAUUGCGGUGUAUUGCUAUCGCCUAGAUUUCCAUUAUGUAAAAUCCGUUUUGGGUUUUUAACCGAUCUAUAAACAUGAUGAAUACGUAGACAUCAUCAAGUGCAUACUAACAUUCAUUAUCGAUUGUUAGAAAUUCAUUUCUUCGAUGAAUACUCAUCAAAUACUUUUUAAAGAAGAUAAAUUGAUAAUAUUGAAAUGUUUUGUUAUAUGUUUAAACAUAUCAGUGAAAAAUCGUUAAUAUCUAUAUGCACACGUAUACGAAAGAAUACUUCAAGAACGUUUACAAUCUUAAGGAACGAUAACUCUGCACGGAUGAUUUAAAACAAUAUUGUGAAAAUACGAACACCUACUCAAAUCCGUUCUAUUAGAAACAUCGAAUUAUUACAGAAGGGUGAUGUAUCUGCUAUGCACUUGCACUGCACUAUUAUUUAUAAAGUAAAAUAGAAUGAUAUACAAAUGCAUGAAAUUUUUAUGUAUACAUGUUACUGUAAUAUACAAGUUUUGAUGUAAUAUAUAACAAUAAGAGUAUACUGAUUUUUAUCACUACAAUAAAGUAGGCAUUACCGUGAGGAGGAAUUCCCUGUCAUUAAAUUAUCAUCCUCGCACGAACUUGUCCAAGAAAAGAACAUAUUUCUACAUUAAUCUCGCUUUCAGGCCGGUCCCAUAUCAGUUAGCUCGUUAGUAUGUUUUGCUUGCCGGUCACAUGUACCCGUCCGUAGUUGCUUAUGCUGCUGCCAGAUCAGUAUAUAUUCUCUAGCAAUCUCGUCAAUAGCCAGACAAAUCUCGUCAGCAUAUGUAUAUGUGUUCCGUCUUACAUCAGAUCCACUGAAAUAAAAUGUAAUUUACAUUCAAUGCCAUUAUAUAUGUUUUUGUUUAAACAAAUAUUCUGUUAUCUUUAUUUCGUCAGAACAAAUCUGUUUAUUCUACACAGUUUGUUUGUUUGGAUGCGCACUGGUGAUUCUCAGACGAAGUUGACAAUUAUCUCUAUAAUUAGAUUUAUUAAAAAAAAUAUGUCAGCUGACUUACAAACAUAAACUCUUCAUCAUGUGACCAUUUACCUUCCCUUUACAAAAGAAAUGGUCUAUUUAUAACACCCAUUAAGGUAUGUUAUUUCUAUCAUUGUUUGGCUGUAUUAUACAGACUAUUCUUUCACAGACAUCUUCAUUAAACUCAAAUAAGAACACAUUUAACUAUAUAAUGUUGAGUUUGUUUACUUUUUGAUUUUAUUUCUAUCAACUUUCGUUUCAUUUCGUUGAUGAGAGAUAUUCAUGAUAUGUUCGAACACGUUGAACAUUUUACUGCAUGUACCAAACAUUGCCAAAUGAAUAUUGCCAAUUUAAUUAACCUGUUUUUGUUGUUCUCUUUGAUAUUUUGUAGAUUUAUUUGUCUUUAUUUUGUUUAUUUGUUUGUUUUAUUGAGAAUAAUAUGUGUAAUACAUUGAUGGCAUACGAUAAAGUUACAGGGGAGGUUAUGACGUUGCUAACGUAAAUUGUUAUUUUCGCGACACAUACUUUUGAUUUUUUAACUCUGUAUGCUAACAUUGCCUAUUUGAAAUUUUAAAAUUGUUUGUAUAUACAUUAAACGACAAAUAUAUGUGACAUAUACAAUUUUCUUACGUCAGACACGCGAAUCAAUGAAUGUGUUUGUAGAUGUUUUUGUGUUCUGUUAAAUUGUUCCUUUGAAAAUUGGUACACGAUGAUGACUGCUGUACCCAUAUUUUGACUAUUUGAUUUAGUAUGUCUUUUUAAUUCACGCAUUAUUGUAAAUAUAACGCAAUUUGAUGAGACUUUCAUCAAAGUGAGACAGUUAGGUUUAAUCCACCAUUUUCUACAUUUGAAAAUGCCUGUACCAAGUCAGGAAUAUGACAGUUCUUGUCCAUCCGUUUUUGAUGUGUUUUGUUAUUUGAUUUUGUCAUGGACUUUUCGAUUAAAUUUUUAGUAGUUCAGUAUUUUUGUGAUUUUACUUUUUAUUGGGAAAAGAUGCAGUUUUCGGCUGUCUUUUAUCAUUUAAACUGAUUUAACUUGAAAACAAUCUUUUUUAAAAUGACAUUAAGUUUGGUUACGUAAUAAGAUUAUGUGUACCAAUGUUCAUGAAAACGUAAAUAGUGGCAUUUUUUUUAAUUUACUACUGCUGAUUAAUAUGCAGCAAAAAAUGACAGUUUUUCCAACAUUCAUGAAAAUUUGAUAAAGGAGUAGGUCCAGUAAGAGCCCUUCUUGGCCCCAAAAUAUAGCAGUUUUACAAAAUUGAUUAAGAGUAAACUUUUAGUUAUUUAUUGAACAGUAAUGCUUCUGCUACAUAAAUAUUGGUUAUUUUUUACUAUACAAUGAACAUAUAUCGGGUACUAGCACCUUAAAGUCAUGCUAAAUUACUGAAAUCUUAUCAAUUCUAGCAUUUUAUUUAAGUUUAGACGGUUUUCGUGUAAAACGGAAGUGGCCGCAUUCGUGUUCAUCCUUAAUAUUGAAAUGGAAGUUGUAUUUUAUGAUAAUACAUAACAUAUAUAAAGGUUGAGGAUGAACACGGAUGCGGCCACUAUCAUUUUUGAUAAAAACCGUCUGAAAAGUGCCAUUUUUCGGCAUAUUUGGUUGAUUUGUCAUAUUUGAGCUUGAAUCAGAUCGUCUUUAAUGACUAAAUCAGUUCAAAUCUUUCACAUAAACUUAUUGAUUCAACUGAAAUAGACACUAAAGUGUUUAAAAAGUGGUUAAAAUCUUUUGUCAGAUGAACCUGAAAUUUGAGGCCAAAAUCGGUCCUUACCGGACCUACUCCUUUCAGUUAUUUGUAAAAAUGAAAUGUACACAUUUAUGCAAUAUUUAUAUAACACAUAAACUACAAAUAAUCUAACACAAAACAGAUCGUGUUUAUUUUUUGAAACAAAAAGGGUUUGUAUUUCAAUCGAAAGGAAAAAUACGUCCACAAAUCCGUAUUCUAAGGAAAUAUCUGAAAUUUGAACCUUAAUUUACUCAAAAAGUAGCACAUGGAGGUAUAUAUUUUAUUACAUAUACUGACCGACUUUAGAAACGCAACACUUGGCUAUGUUUUUUGUUAUUUUUGAAUGAAUGUGUCACCGUCAAAAGCGAUGACUGCCUGUUACAAACGCCAAAAUGACAUGUUUUGGGUUCUGUUUUACGCCUUCUGAUUUUGCAUUUGUUCAACCCAUUAAUUGGUUUUGGCAAUUAUGCGGUUGGAACUUGAGGGCUUUUCCUUCAGUCGACUCUUUGGCAAUUCAGUUGACGGGAAACAUUUAUGGAAUAAAUCUGUACGCAAUGGCAGUCGGCAAGAUUAUCACUUGACGAUGCGGCCGUAAACAUGUCUGGCAAAUGACGUUGCGUAAUCAAAUUCUGUUGAUGUUCCGUUGUCAAUACACUUUGAUUUGUUCAUUGAUGGCCAGCAACAAAUUUUGUCUACUUGUAUCGUUGUCGGAAGGAGAGUUAGACGAGUUUCUGAAGUCAUACAGUAUGGUUGCAGCACGUUUAUGUUUUCUUGUUUGCAGUAUUCCUAAGGGCUGAAUCAGUUUUUUAUUUCUCAGUCUUGGCAAUAUGGAGAUGCAACAUUUUUCAACUGGUUUAAGUGAGGCAAAGGAUUUAAAGAACUGUUUCAAAAAAGGAAAAAAAAACCUGAAACAAUCUUUCAUGGGUCUCAAAUUUUGCUUUAAGAAAUUCGUGCGACUUAAAAAAAUCGGUAUGUACAAUAACCACAGGUAAGUCAGAUGUUGUUUUUUUUGUAAAGAGAAAGAAGUAUGGUAAGCAUGAAAAGUAGUUGUAAGAGAAUCAAACAAGAUUUGGUAAAAAAAAGAUUCAACAAAACGAGUGUUGCGUAUUUAAAGUCGUUAUGUAUAUUUGAUUUAAUCAGGUUAAAAAUAGCCUACAUGCACAUGUUCAUCAAAAUUUAAAUACGGGAUCAAAACUGUAUCGAAUGCCCUUAAAUGGCAUGUAUACUGAGUGUAAAAAGAUUAGCAACAUAUAUUUUUAUUACAAAAACUUGCAAUAAUAAAAAAAAAAAUGAAAAAAACAAAACAUUAUAUGAUAAUAUAUUAAACCUUUUCGUUUAUUAAGUUUGUUACAAUUAUUUAUUUAUUUUUAUUUUUGUUUUUUGUAGUAAAGUUAAUUUUUGAAACAUGAAACUUUUUUGUUUCUCAGUAUAUAAUCAAAGUACGCGAAGAGUAAAGUGAUUUGUUCUUGCAAAUAUUAAAUUUUACAUUCUGAAGUAAACCAGACUGCGCCCGUCGUGUUCGACAUUUUUGCACCAUUCACAAAGACUUUUGGACUGUAACUUUUUGAACUAGGUAGUAAAAUUCUUUCUUAGCUUGUCGAAAGUGUGACUAUUUAGAAAAUAAAAACAACUGUUGUUUCAAAAGCGCUUUUCUGGAUUAACCGUCAUCAGGAACGCUAAAAGCAGAAUAUUUUAAUUCCAAAGAUAUAUAAAACCGAAACAGUUAAUUAAAAGCACUGAUAAAUGAAAAAAAGAUAAUUAAAUAGUAGCCAAACCCUUAAAAGUCAUAUGAAAAAUCAAAUUACUUUUUUUAAUUGUUUGCUUCCAGUUAACUAUUUGCCAAUAUGUUUUCCAUAUGCAGUGAAAUCAGCGUGACACUUCUCGUAAAACAUUCGGUGAUCGCAAUUACGUAUGGACCUAUCAUUUAAAUAGAUAAUUAUCUUAUUGUACGUGUUAUACACGUGCUCAAUAUCCAGGUUUCUAUGAUGAUUGUUUACUACAAAGGUGACAAUUGGUAAACUACGGCUUCAAACAACGGAAAUUAAUGAGCUGCCAUAUUUCCCAUUAUAACAAACCGAAAGAUUUUUUUUUACAAUUAUACGAUAUGGAUGCGUAAAAAUAUGAUAAAAUCGUGCACAGAAGACUAAGUUUAUCAUAUAUACAGGCCUUGGUUUAAGAAAUGGAUAAACAUUAUUUUUCACCAAUCACCAGUCACUCGUUUUAUAUGUGAUAUGACUUUAAAAGCAAACUUUUUCUGAGAAGGUUGAAAGUUUAAACCUAGUUUUUUUUUUUUUAUUUAUUUCAAAUUUAUAAUGGGCAUAUUCAGAAAGGCUUGUUAUUAAUCAUGCCAGACUAUUGAGCUGAUGAUAAUUUGGAAGACUCAUAGUCCACAAGCAGAGGAAUAGACCUAGUGCUGUAUAAAAAAAUUAAAACAACACGUUGUAUAUUUAAAGCGUCCGCGGCGCUUUUUUUAUUUACCUUCUUUAGGAACACGCAAAGUUCAUAUCGCGUUUUUGCGCCUGUCACAAUUCAGGAUCCUGUGGCUUUUGUAUGUCUUGUAUUUUCUAUUUUUUUAAUUUUAGUAUGACAUCAUUUUUACUAAAGUAGAACACAUUUUUAUUAAGGGGCCAUCUGUGUCAGAAUAACGUGUAUGUGGGGUAAAACGACACGUUUUACUUUAAGACUGUAACAUUUUGAACCAAGUCGUAACAAUCAUCAUAUCUUGUCGAUCUUAUAUAGGGCAAGGUUCAUGUUACCAAUAAAUUGUUUUUGUUAUAGCCGUGCGUUUUCUCUUUUGAAUUGGUUCAUAAUUUUUUUUAAUGUAAUCCUUUUUUAUUUCAAGUAGACGCAAGGACAAGAAAAUGAUAUUCCAUUGUCGUUGCGAGCAUAUCGGUGCCAGACUGGUGCUCCUGUAAUGUUAAAGUGGAAAUAAGGCCGAGAAAAUUAUCUUCCAUUGUAGUUUCAAAAAUACCUUAUGGUACUAGGGUGUUUUUCCUUUGUACUUCAAGUAGAACUAAGGUUGAGAAAAAAAAUCAUUUUAGUUUCAGACAUAUCAGUAGUGCUUAUCUCAUAUCUCUUCGUAGUAGAAUUACAAGAAAGUUCAGAAAAUAUAUUGAUACAAGGCUGGUGCUCCUUCGUGAGGUCGAUAAUAUGAUUCUGUCUCUUUUUGUAUCUUGUGAAGAGUUGUCUCACUGGCAUUCGUACCACAUGUGAUUAUUUAUAAAUAUUAAACUCGUGACUUGUUUAAAUAUUCCACGUGGAACCUUUAAAAGAUGAUAGUUUUUUUUUAUAAUCGUAAAUUAACAAGAAUAUGAAAUGGGUAAUAGAAAAAAAAAAAUCAUGAAAUCGUUUCCAUCGCUGAGUACGAGAAAUUACCGACCGAAGUCCUGAAAAUCGCUCAAAUCUGCAAAUUACACAAUGAAAAAUACGAGCUUUUCUGUAGAAAACACGACUGUCCGUGCUGUAAGAAAUGUGUGAAAUCUCACAACGAUUGUAAGGGUUUAACCGAUAUUAAUGAAAUCACAAAAAAUGUAAAACCUUCAAACGCCUUUUAUGAAAUCGAACAAACCCUGCUUGAAGUCACCGAGAAUUUUAAACAACUCAGCGAUAACCGGAAAGAAAAUUUGAACUCGCUUCGAGACAAGAAAAGAGAAAUUGAAGCCGCAAUAACAAGAACCAGAAUCAAAAUAAACGACCAUCUUGAUAAACUUCAGGAUGAUUUUAUGAAAGAAUUAAUGGCAGUUGAACAAAAAGAAAGCAGCAAAAUACAAAAAUUAUUGACUACCCUGAUAAAGAAGGAAAAAGAAAUCAGUGAGGUACAAGAAAACAUUGCUAGUAUUAAACAGCAUGCGUCCGAGCUUCAAACAUUUUUA
Molecule: long non-coding RNA, 11551 nt
Filed under: Mytilus galloprovincialis (Mediterranean mussel)
Lineage: Eukaryota; Metazoa; Mollusca; Bivalvia; Mytilida; Mytilidae
Source: RNAcentral